GACGAACGCUGGCGGCGUGCCUAAUACAUGCCAGUAGAACGCUGAAGGAGGAGCUUGCUUCUCUGGAUGAGUUGCGAACGGGUGAGUAACGCGUAGGUAACCUGCCUGGUAGCGGGGGAUAACUAUUGGAAACGAUAGCUAAUACCGCAUAAUAGCAGUUGUUGCAUGACAACUGUUUGAAAGGUGCAAUUGCACCACUACCAGAUGGACCUGCGUUGUAUUAGCUAGUUGGUGGGGUAACGGCUCACCAAGGCGACGAUACAUAGCCGACCUGAGAGGGUGAUCGGCCACACUGGGACUGAGACACGGACCAGACUCCUACGGGAGGCAGCAGUAGGGAAUCUUCGGCAAUGGACGGAAGUCUGACCGAGCAACGCCGCGUGAGGGAAGAAGGUUUUCGGAUCGUAAAGCUCUGUUGUAAGAGAAGAACGAGUGUGAGAGUGGAAAGUUCACACUGUGACGGUAUCUUACCAGAAAGGGACGGCUAACUACGUG
Molecule: ribosomal RNA, 495 nt
Filed under: uncultured bacterium
Lineage: Bacteria
Description: partial 16S ribosomal RNA
Rfam family: Bacterial small subunit ribosomal RNA
Source: RNAcentral